RNAcentral lists this ribosomal RNA (253 nucleotides) under uncultured bacterium. Its description in RNAcentral is "partial 16S ribosomal RNA". It matches the Rfam family "Bacterial small subunit ribosomal RNA", at positions 524 to 776 of the family's 1533-position model. The record is from RNAcentral.
UACGGGGGGGGUAAGCGUUGUUCGGAAUUACUGGGCGUAAAGGGCUCGUAGGCGGCCAACUAAGUCAGACGUGAAAUCCCUCAGCUUAACUGGGGAACUGCGUCUGAUACUGGAUGGCUUGGAUUUGGGAGAGGGAUGCGGAAUUCCAGGUGUAGCGGUGAAAUGCGUAGAUAUCUGGAGGAACACCGAUGGCGAAGGCGGCAUCCUGGACCGGUAUUGACGCUGAGGCGCGAAAGCCAGGGGAGCAAACGGG